This 450-nucleotide ribosomal RNA is filed under the name uncultured bacterium. RNAcentral describes it as "partial 16S ribosomal RNA". It matches the Rfam family "Bacterial small subunit ribosomal RNA", at positions 354 to 796 of the family's 1533-position model. The record is from RNAcentral.
GUCGAGAAUAAUUCACAAUGGGGGAAACCCUGAUGGUGCAACGCCGCGUGGAGGAUGAAGGUCUUCGGAUUGUAAACUCCUGUCAUCUGGGAGUAAGACCUGACGGUGAAUAGCCGGCAGGAUUGAUAGUACCAGAAGAGGAAGGGACGACUAACUUCGUGCCAGCAGCCGCGGUAAUACGAAGGUCCCAAGCGUUGUUCGGAAUCACUGGGCGUAAAGGGAGCGUAGGCGGCGUGGUAAGUCAGAUGUGAAAUCCCGGGGCUCAACCCCGGAACUGCAUCCGAUACUGCCAUGCUUGAGGGUUGGAGAGGUAGCUGGAAUUCUCGGUGUAGCAGUGAAAUGCGUGGAUAUCGAGAGGAACACUCGUGGCGAAGGCGAGCUACUGGACAACAUCUGACGCUGAGGCUCGAAGGCCAGGGGAGCAAAAGGGAUUAGAAACCCUUGUAGUCC